RNAcentral lists this long non-coding RNA (1441 nucleotides) under Ananas comosus (pineapple). RNAcentral's name for it is "long non-coding RNA (ACOM_LNC029563)". The record is from RNAcentral. Lineage: Eukaryota; Viridiplantae; Streptophyta; Magnoliopsida; Poales; Bromeliaceae.
AAGAAAAUCAAAUAAAUUUAAUUUUUAAAAACUCGAUAUCCGAUCUCUUAAACCACAUAAACAGAAUCCCUCAUGUCAUUUAAGAUUAAAGAAGAAAAAUAAAUAUCGCAUCUUCACCUUUGCGUUGGUAGGUCUUCACAGCUAUCUAAUGAUCGUGGAAUUAGAUUCUCUUGAAGCCGCACAAGCGUCUGACCUCUAUAAGUAUCCACACGAGAUUUGUGAUUAUUAUUGAUUUCCUCACCAGGGUGCUAGCUCCCUUACAAAGGACAACUUGCUGGCUAGAGGAUCAAAGAAAAGAAAAAAAGAGAGAGAAAUGACAGCUAGAAUUUUCUGAAAACUUCUGUAUCUUAUAAACAGAGAUAUAAUCUUUUUUAUAAUAAUAUAAUUACCAUUGAAGAUAAGAAUAAAUAGAGGUUUAAUUUUAUCCUUUUCUUAAUUUGUUCAAUCAAUUAAGUCCUAAUUUAAAUCGACUUGAACUACAUCCUAAUUUGAUCAAACCGAAUUAAUAAUACAAUAUUUGCAUAUAACUCCUCUCACAACAUACUAACUUUUAAUAAGUCCUCUUGUACAAUAUCUGCACUUUAAUACUACUAAUUUGUAACAAUUAUAAAUCACUCCAAUUAUCAACAUAUUGACAAUUAGGUCAUCCGGCGAUUCAAGAAUCGUGAUCUAGCUAUCUGAUCAGGCACAAACUCUUAUGUGUGUGAUCCUAUAGAUUCUACUCUAUUUAGUAGUGAGAUAUGUUCUGAUCAUUAUUAACAAUAUUACUGAAACUUCUUUCAGUGGGUUAGAACAAUUCCAACUUAACCUAAUAAAAAUUAUCGAUUAUCUAAAUAACUUUCAUCAGUCUCACAAUCCACCAGUGAUGCUUAGCAGUAUAUAGUAGCAUUCCAGUAUAAUCGAAUACUGAAUCUUUUGGUGCAAUUAUCGUGUAAUACAGUCCUUCUAUCAUGAGUCCCGACUAGACGGAGAUCAUGAAAUAGCUCGUCAAACACCAUCAUCUGUCAUAUGUCAAAUAACUCGAGUUUCUAAUAUCGGAAAUCCUUUCUGCUAUUAACUUUGUCUUGGUUAAGAACUUUUAAACUUGGUCUCAUAAAUCUCAUAGUACUAAGGCUCCUAUAUACCAUGGAAAAUAAAUUUUAUAUAGGCACACACCCUAUUCCCACAACGAACCUAAUGGAGCCAACAUGCACCGUAAGAACCUGAAUGGCUAGAGACCAAGUGUAUGUAUAGUCAAACUACAGUAACCUCACUAUGAAUAGCCGAGACACCGUAGGUCAAAGGACCAGUCACACUACUGUAACAUUGAGUAAGUCACUAACGAGUGAAUAGACAUCCAAAUAACUUGUCGUGUUGGUCACGCUCGGUAUCCUUGUUCUCUAACAACCACAUGUACAUUCGCUCCAAUGUCCCCACCUAUUGACUCGAGACUCGUUUAUCC